Molecule: ribosomal RNA, 404 nt
Filed under: uncultured prokaryote
Description: bacterial SSU rRNA
Rfam family: Bacterial small subunit ribosomal RNA
Source: RNAcentral
UGGGGAAUAUUGCACAAUGGGCGAAAGCCUGAUGCAGCAACGCCGCGUGAGCGAUGAAGGCCUUUGGGUCGUAAAGCUCUGUCCUUGGGGAAGAAACAAAUGACGGUACCCAAGGAGGAAGCCCCGGCUAACUACGUGCCAGCAGCCGCGGUAAUACGUAGGGGGCAAGCGUUAUCCGGAAUUAUUGGGCGUAAAGAGUACGUAGGUGGUCUUUUAAGCGCAGGGUUUAAGGCAAUGGCUUAACCAUUGUUCGCCCUGUGAACUGGAAGACUUGAGUGUAGGAGAGGAAAGUGGAAUUCCUAGUGUAGCGGUGAAAUGCGUAGAUAUUAGGAGGAACAUCAGUGGCGAAGGCGACUUUCUGGACUAUUACUGACACUGAGGUACGAAAGCGUGGGGAGCAAACA